GGAGAUGAAAUUGGCACCCAUAUAAAUGAUAGCGACUAGUACCGCCAUCCAUCUCAGACUGAUAGUCUUGAUGACAUGUUUGAGGACACUUAUUUUCAUGUCAAUAUACCACUGCCCACCCACAACCAAUCAGAGAGUACAGAAAAUAGGGGGGGGGGAUCUUCUGCUCAAUCAAAAAAAGGAAAAGGAAAACGGAAAAUGCCCACUGAAGUUGAAGCAAUACAAGAGAUUAAUAACACAAUUAAAGAGACAUUGCUAACAAAGAAGUCUACUCGAAAUUUGGAAUUUGCAAAAGAAUUGAUUAGUGAGUGCAUGAAAUUGAAAGUAUAUGGCUACUGUGGCCAUCAAAUCAAUAAGGCCUAUGAUUGGUUAAUGUCCGACGAUAGUAGAGCUAUGGCUUUCUUAGCAAAGGAUGAAAGCUAUGGAAGUAUUGGGCGAAGGACUUCUUUGAAUCAAUUCACAAACAAGAAGAAUAUUUUCGAAGUCCCAUUUAGGGUGUUGGAGCAUGUGGACAUGAUUUAUCAAUGAAACCUAGACGAAUGCUAUUGGUUAUUUAUCGUAUUGAAAGGCGGCAAAUGUAGCAUGAGAUUGUAAACUCUAAAAUUUGACUAUGUAAUGAUUGCCUUCUUGAUUUUGGAUGUGUUUUUUUUGUAUAUGUGCACUAAUUGUUGAGUUAUUUUUGUGUUGUUAAGUAUGAAACUUUGAACUUAAUUGUGCUUGAGGA
This is a long non-coding RNA of Dioscorea cayenensis subsp. rotundata (Guinea yam), 724 nucleotides long. RefSeq lists it as uncharacterized. NCBI's taxonomy places the organism in Eukaryota, Viridiplantae, Streptophyta, Magnoliopsida, Dioscoreales, Dioscoreaceae. The record is from RefSeq and is a predicted model, not a curated record. The transcript is spliced from 3 exons.